CCCCUAGAUGUUCUGGGCCGCACGCGCGCUACACUGAUGCAUGCAACAAGUCUUUUCCUUGGCCGAGAGGCCUGGGCAAUCUUUGAAUAUGCAUCGUGAUGGGGAUAGACGAUUGCAAUUAUUCGUCUUCAACGAGGAAUUCCUAGUAAACGCAAGUCAUCAGCUUGCAUUGAUUACGUCCCUGCCCUUUGUACACACCGCCCGUCGCACCUACCGAUUGAAUGGUCCGGUGAAGGCUUCGGAGGCGGCUUUCUCAAUGUUUAUUCGGCGAGACUGCUGCCAAAGUUGAAUGAACCUUACCAUUUAGAGGAAGGUGAAGUCGUAACA
This 327-nucleotide ribosomal RNA is filed under the name uncultured eukaryote. RNAcentral's name for it is "partial 18S ribosomal RNA". It matches the Rfam family "Eukaryotic small subunit ribosomal RNA", at positions 1470 to 1796 of the family's 1831-position model. The record is from RNAcentral.